Fragaria vesca subsp. vesca is the source of this 1559-nucleotide RNA transcript. It is a transcript of the gene named serine/threonine-protein kinase akt-1-like, with no coding region annotated. The record is from RefSeq and is a predicted model, not a curated record. The transcript is spliced from 15 exons. NCBI's taxonomy places the organism in Eukaryota, Viridiplantae, Streptophyta, Magnoliopsida, Rosales, Rosaceae.
AUGGAUCUUCUUAUUUCCAAUGAUGGGAAGUUAUGGAAACCAAAUCUGGAAGCUGGAGGAAGGGACAAGCUGUUGUUGCUUGAAAAGAAGUGUUUAAAAGUGGUCUGCGUCACAGGCACUACUGAUGACCAAGAAUUUGCAGCAGCAGCAAAGAUGAGUAUUGUUAGAACUCUGGUCUCAAAUCAGCUUGUAGUCAAGAGGAGGGAGAUUGGGUUUCGGUGGAGGGAGAGGGAGAGGCAGAGAGACAGUUUCUGGCGGGAUGUCGAGAGGGGGAGGAACUGGGGGACUAGAGGUAGGGAGCAUGAGAUGGAGUAUGGUGAUGUUAGGGAGAGGUAUAGGGAUUGGUUUUUGUAUGUAAGCUGCUCUUCUUGGGGGUUGUCAGCUAUUGGUGCUAUUGAAGGUAUCAGCAAGUUCAAGUUUGUGACUGGAUCAGUUAUCUGCCUCCUUGAACAAGACUUGAUGGAUUGUAACAAAGGCCUCACAACUAGAGGCUGCAGGAGGCUGCAGGGGCGAACAAGGAGCAUUGGAACUCAUGAUGGGAAAGGUAGUGGACUGCAAUUUUUGGUGAAUUUCUGCAUGGGUGAUCUAAUACGGAAAAUGGAUUAUUUCGAUAUUGUGGAGAUGAAUCCUUUUGCAUUGGCUGAUGGAAAGCCAUAUCCUUUGGAUAUGAGAGGAGGAGGUGCAAGAGUUAUAUACACGGACAUGAGCAAUCACAUAGGGGCACUCAAAGUCCUCUUCAAGAACCAGUUGCAACAAUCUCAGGUUGAGCAUCAGCUUCGCCCGGAAGUUGUAAUACAAAGUCAUCUUCGCCAUCCCAAUAUUCUACGUCUUUAUGGCUACUUUUAUGAUCAGAAACGAGUUUAUUUGAUAUUGGAAUAUGCCACCAAAGGUGAACUAUACAAGGAACUCCAGAAGUGUAAAUACUUUAGUGAAAGACACCGUAAUUUUCUUUUCGUAUGAGGUAUUUGCAGUAUGUUGCAUCAUUGGCCCGAGCACUUAAUUCAUCUAGAUAUCAAACCAGAAAACCUUCUCAUUGGUCAACAGGGUGAACUCAAGAUAGCAGAUUCAGUGCAUACAUUCAAUCACAGUCGGACCAUGUGUGGCACUCUUGAUUACCCCCGUCCUGAGAUGGUGUAAAGCCGAUUAGAUAUCUUUGAGUGAAAAUCUAUGGAGGAUUUGUUAACAUGUGCCUGGUUGAUUUUGGGCGGGAUCCAAAUUUUAGUUUUUCAGGUGUAUUCUUGAUGUUGUUAUGCUCGACUUUAUUGGCUUUUGUGUCUGCAUUUGAAUUUUUAUUGUGUUUUCAUUUGAAUUUUUUUUGGUGGCAUGAAAUUUGGUGUUUGAAUGCAAAGAGUGCAAUAUAAAUUUUCCCCAAGACGGAUUCGUGGGACUAUAGAUUUGGGAAGUUUCCCAAUCCUCUGCUCAGAUCGAAUCGAUAAGUUGAGUGCUUUUGAAUUUUCAAAUUUUUUCAUUCCGUUUUUGUGUGGUUUUUAUACUAUUUGUGAUUGAGCUUAUCAUUUCAAGAUGGAUAACCGUUCCCAUUACCUGAUUUGAGCUGAUUC